Molecule: ribosomal RNA, 254 nt
Filed under: uncultured bacterium
Lineage: Bacteria
Description: partial 16S ribosomal RNA
Rfam family: Bacterial small subunit ribosomal RNA
Source: RNAcentral
CACGUAGGGGGCAAGCGUUGUCCGGAUUUAUUGGGCUUAAAGAGCUCGUAGGCGGUUUCGUAAGUCGGGUGUGAAAACUCUAGGCUCAACCUAGAGACGCCACCCGAUACUGCGAUGACUAGAGUCCGGUAGGGGAGUGUGGAAUUCCUGGUGUAGCGGUGAAAUGCGCAGAUAUCAGGAAGAACACCUAUGGCGAAGGCAGCUCUCUGGGACGGUACUGACGCUGAGACGCGAAAGCGUGGGGAGCGAACAGG